CUUUUAUUAAUUUAAAUUUUAUUUUUAAGUUAAAAAGCUUAAAUUUUUUUAAAAGACGAGAAGACCCUAUAGAGUUUUAUAUUUUAUAGAUUAAAUUUAUUAAUUGAAUUAUUUUUUAUUAAAUUUAUAAAAUAUUUUGUUGGGGUGAUGGAAAAAUUUAAUAAACUUUUUUUUUAUAAAAACAUUUUUUUUUAUGAAUCUAUGAUCCAUUUAUUAUGAUUAUAAGAUUAAAUUACCUUAGGGAUAACAG
RNAcentral lists this ribosomal RNA (250 nucleotides) under Creophilus maxillosus. RNAcentral's name for it is "partial 16S ribosomal RNA". Lineage: Eukaryota; Metazoa; Arthropoda; Insecta; Coleoptera; Staphylinidae. The record is from RNAcentral.